UAAUUUGAGAGUUUGAUCCUGGCUCAGGACGAACGCUGGCGGCGUGCCUAAUACAUGCAAGUCGAACGAACUCUGGUAUUGAUUGGUGCUUGCAUCAUGAUUUACAUUUGAGUGAGUGGCGAACUGGUGAGUAACACGUGGGAAACCUGCCCAGAAGCGGGGGAUAACACCUGGAAACAGAUGCUAAUACCGCAUAACAACUUGGACCGCAUGGUCCANNNNNNNNNNNNNNNNNNNNNNNNNNNNNNNNNNNNNNNNNNNNNNNNNNNNNAGUUUGAAAGAUGGCUUCGGCUAUCACUUUUGGAUGGUCCCGCGGCGUAUUAGCUAGAUGGUGGGGUAACGGCUCACCAUGGCAAUGAUACGUAGCCGACCUGAGAGGGUAAUCGGCCACAUUGGGACUGAGACACGGCCCAAACUCCUACGGGAGGCAGCAGUAGGGAAUCUUCCACAAUGGACGAAAGUCUGAUGGAGCAACGCCGCGUGAGUGAAGAAGGGUUUCGGCUCGUAAAACUCUGUUGUUAAAGAAGAACAUAUCUGAGAGUAACUGUUCAGGUAUUGACGGUAUUUAACCAGAAAGCCACGGCUAACUACGUGCCAGCAGCCGCGGUAAUACGUAGGUGGCAAGCGUUGUCCGGAUUUAUUGGGCGUAAAGCGAGCGCAGGCGGUUUUUUAAGUCUGAUGUGAAAGCCUUCGGCUCAACCGAAGAAGUGCAUCGGAAACUGGGAAACUUGAGUGCAGAAGAGGACAGUGGAACUCCAUGUGUAGCGGUGAAAUGCGUAGAUAUAUGGAAGAACACCAGUGGCGAAGGCGGCUGUCUGGUCUGUAACUGACGCUGAGGCUCGAAAGUAUGGGUAGCAAACAGGAUUAGAUACCCUGGUAGUCCAUACCGUAAACGAUGAAUGCUAAGUGUUGGAGGGUUUCCGCCCUUCAGUGCUGCAGCUAACGCAUUAAGCAUUCCGCCUGGGGAGUACGGCCGCAAGGCUGAAACUCAAAGGAAUUGACGGGGGCCCGCACAAGCGGUGGAGCAUGUGGUUUAAUUCGAAGCUACGCGAAGAACCUUACCAGGUCUUGACAUACUAUGCAAAUCUAAGAGAUUAGACGUUCCCUUCGGGGACAUGGAUACAGGUGGUGCAUGGUUGUCGUCAGCUCGUGUCGUGAGAUGUUGGGUUAAGUCCCGCAACGAGCGCAACCCUUAUUAUCAGUUGCCAGCAUUAAGUUGGGCACUCUGGUGAGACUGCCGGUGACAAACCGGAGGAAGGUGGGGAUGACGUCAAAUCAUCAUGCCCCUUAUGACCUGGGCUACACACGUGCUACAAUGGAUGGUACAACGAGUUGCGAACUCGCGAGAGUAAGCUAAUCUCUUAAAGCCAUUCUCAGUUCGGAUUGUAGGCUGCAACUCGCCUACAUGAAGUCGGAAUCGCUAGUAAUCGCGGAUCAGCAUGCCGCGGUGAAUACGUUCCCGGGCCUUGUACACACCGCCCGUCACACCAUGAGAGUUUGUAACACCCAAAGUCGGUGGGGUAACCUUUUAGGAACCAGCCGCCUAAG
Molecule: ribosomal RNA, 1548 nt
Filed under: Lactiplantibacillus plantarum
Lineage: Bacteria; Bacillati; Bacillota; Bacilli; Lactobacillales; Lactobacillaceae
Description: 16S ribosomal RNA
Rfam family: Bacterial small subunit ribosomal RNA
Source: RNAcentral